This 292-nucleotide ribosomal RNA is filed under the name uncultured bacterium. RNAcentral's name for it is "partial 16S ribosomal RNA". It matches the Rfam family "Bacterial small subunit ribosomal RNA", at positions 505 to 795 of the family's 1533-position model. The record is from RNAcentral.
GUGUCAGCCGCCGCGGUAAUACAGAGGGUGCAAGCGUUGUUCGGAAUUAUUGGGCGUAAAGCGCGUGUAGGCGGCUCAGCAAGUCAGGUGUGAAAGCCCUCGGCUUAACCGAGGAAGUGCGCCUGAAACUACCGAGCUUGAGUACCGGAGAGGGUGGCGGAAUUCCCGGUGUAGAGGUGAAAUUCGUAGAUAUCGGGAGGAACACCAGUGGCGAAGGCGGCCACCUGGACGGCUACUGACGCUGAGACGCGAAAGCGUGGGGAGCAAACAGGAGGAUAAACCACAGGAUUAC